This 199-nucleotide long non-coding RNA is filed under the name Elaeis guineensis (African oil palm). Its description in RNAcentral is "long non-coding RNA (EGUI_LNC045735)". The record is from RNAcentral. Lineage: Eukaryota; Viridiplantae; Streptophyta; Magnoliopsida; Arecales; Arecaceae.
GUAGUGGGCCAUUCAGAGUCGUGCGGAGUUUGUUACAGAGAGUAGUGGCAUCAGAGGUCGUUCAGGGCCACGUGGAGCUUGUUGCGGAGAGUGGAGCAAGGUGGCGGUUCUUGUCGUGGCUUGUCAGAGAGUGGUGGAGCCAUGUGGAAUCCAUUGCAGCGAGUGGAGCAAGGUAGUGGCCCUUGUUGUGGCUUGCCAG